Molecule: long non-coding RNA, 1829 nt
Filed under: Helianthus annuus (common sunflower)
Lineage: Eukaryota; Viridiplantae; Streptophyta; Magnoliopsida; Asterales; Asteraceae
Description: hypothetical non coding rna
Source: RNAcentral
UUGUGCACAUGAACAACAACUGCUACUUCAAAAUUCAAAUAUCAAUCCACCAAGCUUUCUUCUUCAUCAGCAGAAAUCACAGCCAAAAGAGAGAACUUUGCGCGUAGCGAUAUCUUACUUUUAUCGACCAUCAACCGAGCACCCGACACGACCCAAUAACCGGGCAAAUCCUGUGGUCCCCGGACCAAUUCCGAUGUAUCAACAAAUUUCAAAAGCUUCUUUCCUUGAGCAGUCACUGGAGGCCCAAUAGGUAAAGCCGAGUUCAGUAUAAUAUCUUUAGGCUGUGGUGUCGGUUUUUGAGCACUCGAAAACCGAGUAGAGAUCAGGGUUGAAACAAUGCCAGAUUUCUGAGUAACAAGAACUGGUGACCCGUCCCAUUCGGGCUGCCUCACCACCGUGGCCCCCACGACUUUUGAGAACUGCAGGCGUAAGAACAGGACUCGUUUUAGACCUGAAUCGCUUACUUCGAAUUCGGCUCCUGUCACGAUGGAGUGUUCGUCGUCAGACUCCACUGGGGCCGUGCAGAUGUGUGAAAAGCUUUUCCAUUGAACCUUUUCGUGGUACCUUCGGUCUUGAGAAUGUGGGCUCAAGGAGUUCUUGAUGGGCUCAGCCACCAGUUUAAAGCUUUUCGGCAUGGAUGAAAGAUGCUGUAAAUGGAUCGCUAAACAGUCGUUCUUUUUUCCUUCUAAAUAAAGCCGAAGGCCCGUUACUGGUGUGUUACCGACAUCCACCUGCAGUUUAUUAACAGUAAAGAUAAUCAGUAUUCUAUAACAACUAAGGAUAAUGGGCCGGUCAAGAUGAACAAUUUUGUUACGCGUCGGGUUGACCCGACCGCUUCUUGUCAAAUGAUAUGAUUUAGAAGGUUUUAUGGAUUAAAUAUACAAUUUGACCCAUUUAACUUAUUAUUUUUGACUGUUAAAGAUAAAACAUUGCCUGAUUUGUGUUAACAUAGAGCUUGGGGCCCAUAAAUCUGAACUGUAACGAUGCACUGUGGUUCUGUUUCCCCUCGGGCCCGACUGCGAGCUCACCGAACUCUGGGGCCCAACGUGUCGGAAGCUGAAACUCUAAAAAUUGCUGCAGCUCUUCAAUUGGCGGUUUAACUGCAAAACAAACAUAGCGCGGUUUGUACUAAAGGGUAUUUUGGACAUUUCUACAACGGGUUAAUAAACGGAAAAAUAGGGAUGUGUUUACUCACAGCGGAUAUAAAGAUUGAUGGCAUGAGUCAAGAACCCGUUGCCAUCGAUUCCACUUAAUAAAGAUGUGAUUGGAAUUAACGACAUUGAUAUCACUUGCGGUUCAAGUUGAACCGUUUGACACCAUGUGCGAUGGUCAAGGUUUUUGCCGUAACUUCCUCCUCUCCUCCUCCAGAAAACAGUUAUAUCCUGCAAUAAUACGGAAUUAAAUUUCAUAUUGGAAAUGUGUACGAAAAGUAUCAAUAACGAGACGAUAUCAAAGAUCUAACCUCAACCGCAGGAACCAAGUUUAUCAAGCCGUAGUCGUUCCUUUCAAGCUGAAAUGAAAAAGGUUCCCAUGAUGAUGGAACCGCAUUCUUGACAUGAUCACAUAAUGCAAUUUGGGACUUUUCGAGUGUGAUAUUGUAAAGCGUUAUGAACACACCAUCUAGCGCGAGUGCUUUCGUGUUCAUAGCAUCUUUUUGCCAUGAUCCUGUGAACUCAAAUGCAGCAUUAAACUGUCCUGUUGGGAUUCUUCCUGAAAGUUUAACAUCCUGGUUGAACUGUUCAGCCAUCUGCAAAAACAAGAGAUCAAUGUCACCUAAAUAUCAAAGAAAUCCAACAAUUUUUCAGUUAUAUUAAUGAUGUUUUUCAAAA